This 253-nucleotide ribosomal RNA is filed under the name uncultured bacterium. Its description in RNAcentral is "partial 16S ribosomal RNA". It matches the Rfam family "Bacterial small subunit ribosomal RNA", at positions 524 to 776 of the family's 1533-position model. The record is from RNAcentral.
UACGUAGGUGGCAAGCGUUGUCCGGAUUCAUUGGGUUUAAAGGGUGCGCAGGCGGGACAUUAAGUCAGGGGUGAAAGACGGUUGCUCAACAAUCGCAGUGCCUUUGAUACUGGUGUUCUUGGGUAACCUUGAGGUAGGCGGAAUGGGUGGUGUAGCGGUGAAAUGCAUAGAUAUCUGGAGGAACACCGGUGGCGAAGGCGGCAUCCUGGACCAAUAUUGACGCUGAGGAGCGAAAGCCAGGGGAGCAAACGGG